This 276-nucleotide ribosomal RNA is filed under the name uncultured bacterium. Its description in RNAcentral is "partial 16S ribosomal RNA". It matches the Rfam family "Bacterial small subunit ribosomal RNA", at positions 524 to 794 of the family's 1533-position model. The record is from RNAcentral.
UACGUAGGGUGCGAGCGUUAAUCGGAAUUACUGGGCGUAAAGCGUGCGCAGGCGGUUUUUGUAAGCCAGAUGUGAAAAGCCCCGGCGUUAACCUGGGAAGUGGCAUUUGGGUACGUGCAAGGCUUGAGUGCGGCAGAGGAGACUGGAAUUCCCGGUGUAGCAGUGAAAUGCGUAGAUAUCGGGAGGAAUACCGAUGGCGAAGGCAGGUCUCUGGGCUGACACUGACGCUCAUGCACGAAAGCGUGGGGAGCAAACAGGAUUAGAAACCCCGGUAGU